GGAGGCGUCGCAUAGUGGCCUAGUGCGCCCGCCUGCUAAGCGGGUUGAGGAUAAAACCUCUCGCGGGUUCAAAUCCCGCCGCCUCCGCCA
Molecule: transfer RNA, 90 nt
Filed under: Terracoccus luteus
Lineage: Bacteria; Bacillati; Actinomycetota; Actinomycetes; Micrococcales; Intrasporangiaceae
Also listed under: 26 other names
Description: tRNA-Ser
Rfam family: tRNA
About the family: Transfer RNA (tRNA) molecules are approximately 80 nucleotides in length. Their secondary structure includes four short double-helical elements and three loops (D, anti-codon, and T loops).
Source: RNAcentral